This 238-nucleotide unclassified non-coding RNA is filed under the name Ascomycota sp. RNAcentral's name for it is "partial contains small subunit ribosomal RNA, internal transcribed spacer 1, and 5.8S ribosomal RNA". The stretch from base 1 to 47 matches the Rfam family "Eukaryotic small subunit ribosomal RNA", at positions 1785 to 1831 of the family's 1831-position model. The record is from RNAcentral. Lineage: Eukaryota; Fungi; Ascomycota.
AAAGUCGUAACAAGGUUUCCGUAGGUGAACCUGCGGAAGGAUCAUUACCGAGUUCAUGCCCUCACGGGUAGACCUCCCACCCUUUGUAUACCUACCUUUGUUGCUUUGGCGGGACGCCUCACGGCCACCGGCUUCGGCUGGUGCGCGCCCGCCAGAGGACCCCCUAAACCCUGCUAUCAGUGUCGUCUGAGUAAAUAUCUAAUAUUUAAAACUUUCAACAACGGAUCUCUUGGCUCUG